GCGGUCCGAGUGUCGCAACAUGUGGAGCCGCAGCUUGUCAGGGCGGCAGAAAGCCUUGUCACACUCUGUGCACUGAUAAAUCUUCUCUGAAUGGAAACUGCGUACGUGUUUCUUGACCUGGAUAAAGUCUGGAAAGCGCUUUUUGCAGGUAGGACAGGUGAAAUAGCCAUCAAUGAUAUGGAUGGCCACGUGAUCUUUGAGUAAGUCCAAGCGGUCGAAGGACUCAGGACAGAAAAUGCAGGAGUACGUUUUCUGGUCCAUGUGGAACUUCAUGUGGCUCUCGAGAGACCCGCUGUUGAUAAAGCCCUUGUUGCAAAUGUCACAAGUCAAAGGGCAGUUCCCUUCCCGGCCAUGGAAGCGCAGAUGCUGAUCCAGUUUGUCCUUUUCCCGGAACGCCUUCCCACACUGCAGGCAUUUGAAUGGGCGGAAGGAUUUCCUUAUGAACAGGUGCUGAAGAGCUGCAUUCUGAAAGAAACACAGAGUCCAUUAGCUUUCAGUAGGUACUGACUUCACAGACCAACAUUUCCAAGAUCAAAAACAACAGAUCGGUGAACCCGAACGUCAAAAGACACUUUGGUCACAGGCUGUGUUGUACAGAAGUGGAUGCUGUGAUGGAUAGAAG
This 622-nucleotide long non-coding RNA is filed under the name Gallus gallus (chicken). Lineage: Eukaryota; Metazoa; Chordata; Aves; Galliformes; Phasianidae. The record is from RNAcentral.